AGAAUCCUCUACUUGUCCCCCCACCCCAGAUUUUAUGUUCUCUCUGUAGGGGCUACUGCCAAGCCCCCCAGACUCCCCCCAAUGUCCCAGCUGAGGUUAUUUCUAGUAGAGCUGUUGGACUCGAAUCCUCUGCCUAAGAGCAUGUCCACUUAGGAGGCCCUUCCGGCCCUGUCACAUCGGCCUUGGAGCCUUCGCAGGAAAGAGAAAGGGGAAGGCAGAAGGGCCCCUUCCAGGAUGGAUUCCUCCAGCUCGGGAAAGAGCCCCAGCCAACAUGGGCCCAGCCCCCAACAUGCAUCAUGUUGUAGCUCCGGACUUUGGGGCCCACAAAGAAAGGGGGGGAGUUUGGAUUCUUUUCAUUAAAAACAAAACAACAGAGCCUGAAUCUGCAUUUUUCAAACCUUGAUUUCCAGCACUUCUCGCUCUAUUGCUCUAUUCACAAGUCCGCGGCUCUCCCAACUUUCCAGUGUAACCCAAAUCUAAGCCUCAGGGAUAACCCCUUCCACAGUGAUGGAGGGGAUGGAAGGAGCCUUUGAUGCAGCGGACAGACACACUGGAGGGUCACAGAAGUGGCCAAAAGGUUUUGGAGCAGUCCAGGGAUGAGGGGUGUCUUGGGAACAUCCCAGAAGCCACAAUGUCUCUUAAUUUCUUUUCAACAACUUCAUGAGUAUUCAUUCACUUAUUAAAAACAAAAACAAAAAAACAUUUACUGUAUACUUUCUAGGAGUUUGGGCUCUCCAUUUCUUUUCUUUCUUUCUUUCUUUCUUUCUUUCUUUCUUUCUUUCUUUCUUUCUUUCUUUCUUUCUUUCUUUCUUUCUUUCUUUCUUUCUUUCUUUCUUUCUUUCAUCCUUACCCUCUGUCUUAAAAUCACUACUGUGCAUUGGUUCUAAGGCAGAAGAGAGGUAAGGGCUAGGCAAUGGGGGUUAAGUGACUUG
This is a long non-coding RNA of Monodelphis domestica (gray short-tailed opossum), 932 nucleotides long. RefSeq lists it as uncharacterized. Lineage: Eukaryota; Metazoa; Chordata; Mammalia; Didelphimorphia; Didelphidae. The record is from RefSeq and is a predicted model, not a curated record.